GCAUGGAUGAAUUCUGUGUUGGCUUUCACAAUAGCUAAUGGAGUCAGACACCAUGCAAAAUGAAAGCUCCUGUCUUGGAUGUUCCUUGCGGCAGGCUGUGUUAUAAGGCAGCCUGCCCAUAUCUGAAGCGGAUACAGAU
This is a small nucleolar RNA of Rhineura floridana, 139 nucleotides long. RefSeq annotates it as small nucleolar RNA SNORA15. The transcript has a single exon. Lineage: Eukaryota; Metazoa; Chordata; Lepidosauria; Squamata; Rhineuridae. The record is from RefSeq and is a predicted model, not a curated record.